GGAUCCUCUCACUCCAGACGGACGGUUUGCAGACCUGCAGGAACCCUAGGGUAUUGCGAACUCUUUUUGUGGACGGUGGGGUGGAUAUGACUCCAGGUGGGCCCCCAGCCCAGAAGAGGUACAGUGGUCUUGAGUAGGUUUUUGGGCUUGCAGUGUGUCAAGUGAGGUAGGGAUGCAAUGUUGACCGUUUAUUCGGAUCCAGAACUUCAGAUAGAGCUC
Molecule: non-coding RNA, 219 nt
Organism: Pelobates cultripes (western spadefoot toad)
Lineage: Eukaryota; Metazoa; Chordata; Amphibia; Anura; Pelobatidae
Source: the annotation of a GenBank genome assembly